UUUCACUUGGGAGUCCCUUAAAUCCAAUUUACGUUUAUCUACUCUCUCAUUGUUCGGGUAUAAAACAUUUGGCAAACAUGAACUGAAAAUAGGGAACAGAAGAAGAGGCAUGUCAGCCAUUGUGGAUUAUUUUAGUCUCCCCCCUCUGAAUAAACGAUGGAGUAACUAAGGUCAACUUUCUGAAUGAAAACCUUUUUCAAGGACCAAAACUGUCUGAUUUCGAUCGUCCCAAAGAAACUUUCCAACAAAAUCGAACAAAAUUAAAAAUAAACACGAAACGAGAUAUCUAAAUGGCAGCAACGACACACCCAAAAAGAGACGAAAAACUGUAUGUAACUACAGCAAAAUGGAAUUGAAACCUAGCCAGUCAGAAAAGAGAGGAGGGCAAGUUCUUCCAUACCACAGAACGUCAACAGCUGCACGAAAGCAAAAAGCAGCUCACGGAAAUAAGAGAUUGUCAAAAAAAGAAGCUGAAACGAAUAUCCAGAAAUAUCGGGACAACAGCCAUUUGUAAACAGAAAAACGACCGUGGGCCAGUGGCCAGAACAUAGAAGAAAAAAGGAAGGAAAGUCAGCAUUUGGUUUAUAAUAUCGUAAGGAUCUUCUUAGAUCAAUAUGCGUAAAAGGGCGUGCCCGGCUGGCCUUCUCUUCUCGCUCUGUCAAACCAAAUCAAUCGGACAAAAAGUACUCACCCAAACAUCGUGAUAAUAUUCUGUCAGUUGGCCAGAAUUUCCUUCUUGGUCAGAGAUGAAUAGAUUCAACUGAAAGGAGGAAAAAUCUUUCGGCGAAUGGAAUCAAGAUUUCUUAUUGACCAAGAGAUUCAGCAAAACUCCGCCUGUGUCAACCACUAGCUAUCUAUCUCGCUUCGUAUGUUCCAGUAAGUACAAGCUCUACACUGUUUUAAGAGAUAAAAAGAUGACGUUGGCUUAUAAUACGGUAAAUGAAUCGAGCUUACAUGAAAAGAAAACGGUUACGAAGGGACCCGAUUCCACGAAUUCCGGCCACGUUCCGCCACUCAUGAAGGCUGAGUGGAGUUGAAUCCUCCUACAAAACAACAAACGGCUUCCCUUCUUAGUUGGCAGUUUGUUCGACAAACAAGAGCCGCUGUCUUGGUUCUCUUCCCUGUUCUGUGUGUGUCAACAGGAAUCUGAGUCCAGGCCGGAGGCACAGUGGCCAGGGAUUCUUAUCCGUUCGCCACACACAGUGGUCAUAAUCCAUGUAGCUAGUUGCUGUGCCUCGCGUUCAACUCGGAUUUCGGAAGUUGUAUUUAAAAAAGAGAGAGAUCUAAUCAGGCGAUCGAUAAUUCCCAACUUUCAUCAUCCGCUAAAGGCGGAAUUCCAUGAAACUGAUACCUCCCACAAAUGUUUGAAACAGAUUUGAUUCUCAACCUUGAGGCGACGGCGCUUUAUGGAUCCAAGGCUACAUCAGAAAGACCUCAUUAUGGAGUUUGCAUCAUACGCUCAUCUAAGGAAGACUCUGCCUCAUCAUCUCCGUGUGACCGAGAGAAUCGUCGACGCUGUGAAUGACAAUGAGAUCCGUAGUGGGACUACUAUUCUCAAGUACAUGUUGAAAAACAUUUUCAAGGAGAUUGCAGCUGAAUAUCAAGAUCUGCAACUCAAAUUGUCGUCAACUUGGAAGGUGAAAAGGUGUUGAGCGUAUCACUCCAUAUUUUAACGAGAUGAAAUUCCAAUGAUAUAUGAUGGUUGCCAAGCAAAUCAUAAACGACUACAACAUCGAUCGAUCUCUUUUUCAACGUCCUUGCUCUUCGUGGACAAUAAAAUGGGACGUCUGGAAAAUCGUCAUAUUUGUGGAGCUGGGGAUCGAAUCGAUCCAAGUGUCAAGUCAAUGCCUUCGUCAAAAACCUCAGAAAAACAAAGCCAAAAUAAAUGAAGGUUUCAGGCGAUUGUGUUCCUUAAGAAACACGCAGAACAAUAGACGAUAUAGCUUCCCAGUGGCUCAUCCGUCGACGAAAGGAUUGCCAAUCGCUGCAGAUGACUUUUCACACAAGAUUUUCUAUAGUUCUUUCAUAUACUGGACGAUUGCGAUUGAUUACAAUUUUUCAUCAAAACGGAAACAACUGAAGCGAAAAGAAGACACUCUCCACCGUCGCUAUGAGACUCGUUAAUAAACAGUGCGUGAAGCCAAAAAGUUGAGUGGUUUUAUCGAACGGAUGACGGGUUUUCGACUCGUUAUGAUAAUCAUAAAAGCGGAACCAAGAAGAAACUGACGAAACUGCUCUCUUCUAUAUUGUUUAUGUCACUCUCCGUCCCUCUGCCCCCCUUAUAAGAUGUCGCGAAGGACUCGGACGUCGUUUAUGUAAUAGGGAUACUCUUACCGCCAAAAAGAAGUCGUCGUUAGAAACGUAAUUCUAGCCAGCGGCGUGAAUUUCACUAGUGCGGUACGUACGGCUGUAUUCACGCACUGAUUUUGCGCAGAAUGGUCGCCCUCUCUAAACAAUUGAGAAACGCUAAGCUUCGGCUUUAUGUCUCAUUGUACAGUCAUGGACAAUAAGCGCAGGCCAAAAAAAAAAUACAUCUCUGCGAUGCGGUAGUGUCCUUUUCACGCUCCCUUUCGACUCUCUCUGUCCCCAGUUUCUUUCCCCUAUACGUACGCUGGCCGUUCAGCAGCAGUUGAGAGUCUCUUCCCCGAGCGCAAAGGAAACGAUCAAUACGAGGUGGUUGUCUCCCCAGUACAGAGAAAGAGAGAAAGCAAAUUAUUCUAUGCGUGCAUGAAAAAAGAAAAAAAAAGAGUCCAAAGUUAACUGAUGGAAAAUAAAGGGAAAAGUUUAAUAUUUUGUACGAUAUUAAGCUUUUUCUUUUCCAUAGUUUUCUGUUGUUGAAAAAGUCCCUUCUCUAAAUUGAUAAUAAUCCCUAGACGGCAAAGGUUGCAUUUUGUGUUUAAAGCUGUUGACAUUUAUGUCUCUUCAGCUUUGUUGUUGCUGAUUCUUUUACGUAUCCUGAAUGCGACUGCGUUGCAGUCUACAACGUAUUUUUUGAAAGGAUAAGAGUUGGCUAGCUCUAUCACGACUUCC
Long non-coding RNA from Daphnia magna, 3030 nucleotides. RefSeq lists it as uncharacterized. NCBI's taxonomy places the organism in Eukaryota, Metazoa, Arthropoda, Branchiopoda, Diplostraca, Daphniidae. The transcript has 4 exons. The record is from RefSeq and is a predicted model, not a curated record.